UGCCAGCAGCCGCGGUAAUACAGAGGGUGCGAGCGUUAAUCGGAUUUACUGGGCGUAAAGCGUGCGUAGGUGGCCAAUUAAGUCAAAUGUGAAAUCCCCGAGCUUAACUUGGGAAUUGCAUUCGAUACUGGUUGGCUAGAGUAUGGGAGAGGAUGGUAGAAUUCCAGGUGUAGCGGUGAAAUGCGUAGAGAUCUGGAGGAAUACCGAUGGCGAAGGCAGCCAUCUGGCAUCAUACUGACACUGAGGCUCGAAAGCGUGGGUAGCAAACAGGAUUAGAUA
Molecule: ribosomal RNA, 279 nt
Filed under: uncultured bacterium
Lineage: Bacteria
Description: partial 16S ribosomal RNA
Rfam family: Bacterial small subunit ribosomal RNA
Source: RNAcentral